RNAcentral lists this ribosomal RNA (445 nucleotides) under uncultured bacterium. RNAcentral describes it as "bacterial SSU rRNA". It matches the Rfam family "Bacterial small subunit ribosomal RNA", at positions 330 to 792 of the family's 1533-position model. The record is from RNAcentral.
ACCAGACUCCUACGGGAGGCAGCAGUGGGGGAUAUUGCACAAUGGGGGGAACCCUGAUGCAGCGACGCCGCGUGGGUGAAGGAGUAUUUCGGUAUGUAAAGCCCUAUCGGCAGGGAAGAAGCAAGACGGUACCUGACUAAGAAGCCCCGGCUAACUACGUGCCAGCAGCCGCGGUAAUACGUAGGGGCGAGCGUUAUCCGGAUUCACUGGGUGUAAAGGGAGCGUAGACGGCCAUGCAAGCCAGGGGUGAAAGCCCGGGGCCCAACCCCGGGACUGCCCUUGGAACUGCAUGGCUGGAGUGCGGGAGGGGCAGGCGGAAUUCCUGGUGUAGCGGUGAAAUGCGUAGAUAUCAGGAGGAACACCGGCGGCGAAGGCGGCCUGCUGGACCGUGACUGACGUUGAGGCUCGAGAGCGUGGGGAGCAAACAGGAUUAGAUACCCUCGUA